Molecule: non-coding RNA, 173 nt
Filed under: Geosporobacter subterraneus
Lineage: Bacteria; Bacillati; Bacillota; Clostridia; Peptostreptococcales; Thermotaleaceae
Source: RNAcentral
AAUUUUAUUCAUACUAUAGGUGCCCCUUUAGGGGAGAAUAGGGAAUGAAGUAAAACCUUCAGCGGUCCCACCACUGUAAAGAGGAGUUUUGCACAAGGAGCCACUGGUUACCCGGGAAGGCGUGCAAGGCGUUGAAUCUGAGCCAGGAGACCUGCCUAUAGGAUUUAAGUUUC